UGGGGAAUAUUGCACAAUGGGCGCAAGCCUGAUGCAGCAAUGCCGCGUGAGUGAAGAAGGCCCUUGGGUCGUAAAGCUCUUUCGGUUGGGAAGUAGGGUUUAUGGGUGAAUAGCCCAUAAAUUUGACGGUACCUAAAGAAGAAGCACCGGCUAAUUUCGUGCCAGCAGCCGCGGUAAUACGAAAGGUGCAAGCGUUGUUCGGAAUUAUUGGGCGUAAAGCGCGCGUAGGCGGGUUCGUAUGUCAAUUGUGAAAUCCCCGGGCUUAACCCGGGACGUGCAGUUGAAACUGCGAAUCUUGAAUACCUGAGAGGGUGGGGGAAUUCCUGGUGGAGAAGUGAAAUUCGUAGAGAUCAGGAGGAACAUCGGAGGCGAAGGCGCCUACCUGGCAGUGUAUUGACGCUCAUGUGCGAAAGCGUGGGGAGCAAACAGG
This 430-nucleotide ribosomal RNA is filed under the name uncultured bacterium. RNAcentral describes it as "bacterial SSU rRNA". It matches the Rfam family "Bacterial small subunit ribosomal RNA", at positions 355 to 776 of the family's 1533-position model. The record is from RNAcentral.